Molecule: ribosomal RNA, 468 nt
Filed under: uncultured bacterium
Lineage: Bacteria
Description: partial 16S ribosomal RNA
Rfam family: Bacterial small subunit ribosomal RNA
Source: RNAcentral
GACGAACGCUGGCGGCGUGCUUAACACAUGCAAGUCGAACGGACAGGCCCUGCUUUUGUGGGGUGCUCGAGUGGCGAACGGGUGUGUAACACGUGAGUAACCUGCCCUUGACUUUGGGAUAACUUCAGGAAACUGGGGCUAAUACCGGAUAGGAGCUCCUGCUGCAUGGUGGGGGUUGGUAAGUUUCGGCGGUAGGGGAUGGAAUCGCGGCUUAUCAGCUUGUUGGUGGGGUAGUGGCUUACCAAGGCUUUGACGGGUAGCCGGCCUGAGAGGGUGACCGGCCACAUUGGGACUGAGAUACGGCCCAGACUCCUACGGGAGGCAGCAGUGGGGAAUAUUGCACAAUGGGCGGAAGCCUGAUGCAGCAACGCCGCGUGCGGGAUGACGGCCUUCGGGUUGUAAACCGCUUUCGCCUGUGACGAAGCGUGAGUGACGGUAAUGGGUAAAGAAGCACCGGCUAACUACGUG